UACGAAGGGUGCAAGCGUUAAUCGGAAUUACUGGGCGUAAAGCGCGCGUAGGUGGUUCAGUAAGUUGGAAGUGAAAUCCCCGGGCUCAACCUGGGAACUGCUUUCAAAACUGCUGAGCUAGAGUACGGUAGAGGGUGGUGGAAUUUCCUGUGUAGCGGUGAAAUGCGUAGAUAUAGGAAGGAACACCAGUGGCGAAGGCGACCACCUUGACUGAUACUGACACUGAGGUGCGAAAGCGUGGGGAGCAAACAGG
This 253-nucleotide ribosomal RNA is filed under the name uncultured bacterium. Its description in RNAcentral is "partial 16S ribosomal RNA". It matches the Rfam family "Bacterial small subunit ribosomal RNA", at positions 524 to 776 of the family's 1533-position model. The record is from RNAcentral.